ACCCCAGUGAAAACUUUUGUACAUUCUUGUAUCUUUUUUCUGAGAGUGUAUCUGUACUUUAUCUGACACACCUAUAUCAGGUUUUGAAGGACUUUUACUAAGGCGAUGAGUUGAAUUAUUAUGGGAAGAUUUAGAGUAAUGGGGUGCCUGCAGGAACAGAAAUGAAAAACAUUGUAUAUUGCACAGGUAGUUUUUUCCAUUUAGUAAAUACACAUUCUUAUGUGUUUCAUUUCAGGUAAUUACAAAUGCGUGCAAGGUCUAUGUGUAAGACAAGUAUUCAGUUUAGAGCCACCAAUUACUCAAUAUAAUCUUCUUUAUAACACUUUUUCUUUAUAACUUACAACUCUAUUAAACUUUGUUAUUGUUUAGACUUUCGUAGACCAGAAAAUGAGUUACAGUAAAGUGCUUUAUGCAAAUAUGAACCCCCAACACAUCCCGCCUCAUAAAUAGUAAACAUCAGUCAAUAUAAACAGUUUGAUCUACAGCUCAGCUCAUUUCUAAUCAUGUUUAACUCGUAUCUGCUUUUGCUGCUGUCUGCAGCGAUGUCUUGUGUCCACUGUGUUGAACUGACUCAACCUGCAUCCAUUAAUCUGAGGUCUGAUCAGACUUUGACUCUGUCCUGUAAGGUGUCUGGAUAUUCACUGACUGAUAGCAGCUACUGCACUAACUGGAUACGACAGACUGCUGGAAAACCUCUGGAAUGGAUUGGAAGGAUUUGUGGUAGCGGUAACACAUAUUACAGUGAUAAACUGAAAAGUAGAUUUCAAGUUACAAGAGACACUUCCAGCAGCACAGUGACUCUACAAGGACAGAAUAUGAGGACUGAGGACACAGCUGUGUAUUACUGUGCACGAGAGAGCACACUGAUGUAA
Misgurnus anguillicaudatus (oriental weatherfish) is the source of this 872-nucleotide non-coding RNA. The record is from the annotation of a RefSeq genome assembly. NCBI's taxonomy places the organism in Eukaryota, Metazoa, Chordata, Actinopteri, Cypriniformes, Cobitidae.